CCUUUACUGACGCUAAAGCUCGAAGGUGCGGGUAUCGAACAGGAUUAGAUACCCUGGUAGUCCGCACGGUAAACGAUGGAUGCCCGCUGUUUGCGAUACACUGUGAGCGGCCAAGCGAAAGCGUUAAGCAUCCCACCUGGGGAGUACGCCGGCAACGGUGAAACUCAAAGGAAUUGACGGGGGCCCGCACAAGCGGAGGAACAUGUGGUUUAAUUCGAUGAUACGCGAGGAACCUUACCCGGGCUUGAACUGCCGGCGAACGAUACAGAGAUGUUGAGGCCCUUCGGGGCGCCGGCGGAGGUGCUGCAUGGUUGUCGUCAGCUCGUGCCGUGAGGUGUCGGCUUAAGUGCCAUAACGAGCGCAACCCCUCUCCGUAGUUGCCAUCGGGUGAUGCCGGGCACUCUGCGGACACUGCCACCGUAAGGUGUGAGGAAGGUGGGGAUGACGUCAAAUCAGCACGGCCCUUACGUCCGGGGCUACACACGUGUUACAAUGGGUGGUACAGAGGGCAGGCGUCCGGCAACGUCCGUCUAAUCCCGAAAGCCAUCCUCAGUUCGGACUGGGGUCUGCAACCCGACCCCACGAAGCUGGAUUCGCUAGU
This 601-nucleotide ribosomal RNA is filed under the name uncultured bacterium. Its description in RNAcentral is "bacterial SSU rRNA". It matches the Rfam family "Bacterial small subunit ribosomal RNA", at positions 734 to 1339 of the family's 1533-position model. The record is from RNAcentral.